AAUAUUGUACAAUGGGCGAAAGCCUGACCUAGCCAUGCCGCGUGUGUGAAGAAGUUCUUCGGUUUGUAAAGCACUUUAAGUUGGGUGGAAGGGUUGUAGAUUAAUACUCUGCAAUUUUGACGUUACCGCUAGAAUAAGCACCGGCGAACUUCGUGCCAGCAGCUGCGGUCAUACGAAGGGUGCAAGCGUUAAUCGGAAUUACUGGGCGUAAAGGGGGCGUAGGUAGUUCGUUAGGUUGGAAGUGAGAGGCCCGAGCUCAGGCGGGGAACUGCAUCCAGGACUGGCGAGCUAGAGUACGGUAGAGGGUGGUGGAAUAUCCUGUGUAGCGGUGAAAUGCGUAGAUAUAGAAAGGAACACAAGUGGCGAAGGCGACCACCUGGACUGAUACUGACACUGUGGUGCGAAAGCGUGGGGGGCAAACAGG
This 424-nucleotide ribosomal RNA is filed under the name uncultured bacterium. RNAcentral describes it as "partial 16S ribosomal RNA". It matches the Rfam family "Bacterial small subunit ribosomal RNA", at positions 360 to 776 of the family's 1533-position model. The record is from RNAcentral.